AUGCUCAUGAAGGACUACUUUGCCGAGGUACCAACAUAUCUGGCUCACCUAUUUUUUAGGCGAUAUCGAAUGUGUAGGCCUCUUUUCGUGCGCAUCUUUGAAGCUUGCGAGCAGAAUUGCCGUUUUUUCACUCGACGUAGGAAUGCCGCCGGUUUACUUGGGUUUAGUGCAUAUUAAAAAAUAUCGGCGGCGAUGAGAGUGAUUGCAUAUGAUGUCCCCGCGGACUAUGCUGAUGAAUAUCUUCGCAUUGGAGAAGAUACCGCCAUCAAAUGCGUCCGGGUCUUUGUGAAGAUAAUAAUCUGA
Molecule: ribosomal RNA, 303 nt
Filed under: Triticum aestivum (bread wheat)
Lineage: Eukaryota; Viridiplantae; Streptophyta; Magnoliopsida; Poales; Poaceae
Description: partial small subunit ribosomal RNA
Source: RNAcentral